Molecule: non-coding RNA, 191 nt
Filed under: Dialister sp.
Lineage: Bacteria; Bacillati; Bacillota; Negativicutes; Veillonellales; Veillonellaceae
Description: T-box sequence
Rfam family: T-box leader
About the family: Uncharged tRNA acts as the effector for transcription antitermination of genes in the T-box leader family. T-boxes are found upstream of many aminoacyl-tRNA synthetase genes and some amino acid biosynthetic genes usually in Gram-positive bacteria.
Source: RNAcentral
AUAAAAGCUGUGAAGGGAAGAAGUCGUGGAUUUCUUUACAGAGAGCCAUUGGUGCUGGAAAAUGGCAGGAAAGAAUCGAUAAGUCACCCCGGAGCUGACUCUAAGUCCGCCGCGCACGUUACGCGCUAAUGAGAGAUCAUUUCUUAAUGAUUAUUUAGGUGGUACCGCGGAAGCACUCUUUCGUCCUAUAG